Molecule: long non-coding RNA, 418 nt
Organism: Centrocercus urophasianus (Greater sage-grouse)
Lineage: Eukaryota; Metazoa; Chordata; Aves; Galliformes; Phasianidae
Exons: 3
Source: RefSeq, a predicted model, not a curated record
GCCACCAACAGAGAGAAGCAGCACAAAGGAUAGCAGACCCCGCAUGUGGGACCCACACUUUCACCAUCACCAUUGCUCCAUCACUGAACUAGAGAGGCUUUCAUGCAGACAAAACGUAAGAAGGUUCACCAAGAUGCCAAACUGUGACUGGCUACAGCUUCAGCACAUCUCGUAACAAUGCAGGCCAUGACAUGCCAGUGUGAUGGAGCGUGGUAUGUACACUUCAGGAAAGAUGUGACAGAUCAACACUGCUGAUAGUGGUUGCCACUCCGGAUAUUCUACUAAAAUCCCCUUCUUCCAAGUGGCUUAACUCUUGAGACACUGCACCAUCCAUCCCAAGCACUGCAAGGUAACUAGCGGGUACCUCAACAGGACCUGUGUUGGAGCCUCUUGGGCUAACAGGACAUGCCUGUGGCAA